GAUGAACGCUGACAGAAUGCUUAACACAUGCAAGUCUUUGGCGAAGCUGUGCUUGCACAGCCUAGCCAAGGCGGACGGGUGAGUAACGCGUAAGGAACUUGCCCUGCAGUCAGGGAUAACAGACGGAAACGACUGAUAAGACCUGGUAAAGUCAGGCGGACUCAUGUCCAGCCUGAUUAAAAGAGAUUCUGCAGGAGAGCCUUGCGUCCUAUUAGCUUGUUGGUGGGGUAACGGCCCACCAAGGCGAUGAUAGGUAGCCGGCCUGAGAGGGUGGACGGACACAAGGGGACGGAGAUACGGCCCUUACUACUAAGGGAGGCAGCAGUGGGGAAUAUUGGACAAUGGGGGCAACCCUGAUCCAGCAAUUCUGUGUGAACGAUGAAGGUUUUCGGAUUGUAAAGUGCUUUCAGCAGGGAAGAAAAAAUGACGGUACCUGCAGAAGAAGCGACGGCUAAAUACGUG
Molecule: ribosomal RNA, 462 nt
Filed under: uncultured bacterium
Lineage: Bacteria
Description: partial 16S ribosomal RNA
Rfam family: Bacterial small subunit ribosomal RNA
Source: RNAcentral